UAAAAUAUAAAUUAAAAAUGGAGGUAAAAACAUAGAGGAAAAGUGAAUAAUGAAGCUUCACUCUAUGAAAAAAAGUAUUCUUUCGUAUUGAUGAGAGAAAAAAACUUUUGUAUGUAUAAAUAUAGAAGUGUUCCUUUAUGUGGAUAGUGAGACAAAAAGAAGACAAGUCUCACGCCAUCAUCGUCGUCGAUGCUUGCUCAUCUAGAUUUCAGCUUCAAAUUUAAAUUUUAAUUUGUCAAAUUAUUGAUCGAGAGACUCUCUUUGUGGAUGCACACACAUAGGUGCAGAUGCAUGUCACAACGCACCUCGAAGAGACGCGAUCCUCCGGGGCAGUAUUUAAAAAUGAAAAAGAGACCUGCACACAUAAUCUACCAUCUGUGUUGGGUCCGCAGGUUACACGUAAACUUUAUAUUUCGCUCAUGGGUUGGCCUGCGGUCGCAUGUGGCACAUCUAUGCCCGCAAAUGGGUCUGCAAGUCAGGUGACUUAUCGAAAAGUUGUGACUUUUCAUCAACGAUUGCUUUCUUUUUAAAACAUUACCUUUUGAGCUAUAAAUAUUUAUCUUUUUCUCAGAUGAAGAUACGAAAUAUAUUAUUUUACUAAAUUAAAAACUUUCUUUUAAAAGAAAAUAAAAGUAAGUGUAAUUUACUCCUUUUGUUGAGUUAACCGAAGUUUUUCAUAUUGUAGAAUCAUGUUCUAUUCUAUCCUGGAAGAAAUUAAUUCAAACUUUGGACAAUUAUGAGGAGAUUAAAUUCUUUAAGGAAUCACAGUUUACUGUGGGCUUAGAACUUUCAUUUCUUUAUCAUUUUUUCUUAUUUUUGAUUGUAAGAAAUAACAUACAUUCUCAUCUUCUUCACUUUUUGAAUAAUAUUCUUUACUUUCACUCAAUCCAAAUGUAUACGAUGUAUAUAUUAUGCAUGCAAUAUUCUGAGUAAAUGAGCAACUCAAGUCUCCCUUUUAGAAUUUUGCAAAAUCUCUUUCAUAAGUUGAUUUCAAUCAACAACAUUUGAUUUGUGAUUAUUGAUUCAUUGCAUCAUUCUUCUACAUAACUUCUUGGAACAAUCAUAAUGAGCCAAUGGAUAAUCCUUUGAUUCACUUUUUAUUGAUCAAAGACAACCACCUUGAUCAAAACUUACUACUCAUGCGAUUGAUUUGUCAAUUAUUAUUAGUUUUUCUUGUAAUUAUAGACACAAUGUGAACUUAGCUUUGAUAACUCCAUCAAAGCUAUUUAUUGAGUCAUAAAUUUUUUGCAAGUUUGUCUUGACCAUGCACUUAGGCGAUAUGU
Molecule: long non-coding RNA, 1283 nt
Filed under: Capsicum annuum
Lineage: Eukaryota; Viridiplantae; Streptophyta; Magnoliopsida; Solanales; Solanaceae
Description: long non-coding RNA (CANN_LNC009852)
Source: RNAcentral